RNAcentral lists this ribosomal RNA (1528 nucleotides) under Klebsiella pneumoniae. RNAcentral describes it as "bacterial SSU rRNA". It matches the Rfam family "Bacterial small subunit ribosomal RNA". Lineage: Bacteria; Pseudomonadati; Pseudomonadota; Gammaproteobacteria; Enterobacterales; Enterobacteriaceae. The record is from RNAcentral. RNAcentral also lists the same sequence under 1 other name.
AGAGUUUGAUCAUGGCUCAGAUUGAACGCUGGCGGCAGGCCUAACACAUGCAAGUCGAGCGGUAGCACAGAGAGCUUGCUCUCGGGUGACGAGCGGCGGACGGGUGAGUAAUGUCUGGGAAACUGCCUGAUGGAGGGGGAUAACUACUGGAAACGGUAGCUAAUACCGCAUAAUGUCGCAAGACCAAAGUGGGGGACCUUCGGGCCUCAUGCCAUCAGAUGUGCCCAGAUGGGAUUAGCUAGUAGGUGGGGUAACGGCUCACCUAGGCGACGAUCCCUAGCUGGUCUGAGAGGAUGACCAGCCACACUGGAACUGAGACACGGUCCAGACUCCUACGGGAGGCAGCAGUGGGGAAUAUUGCACAAUGGGCGCAAGCCUGAUGCAGCCAUGCCGCGUGUGUGAAGAAGGCCUUCGGGUUGUAAAGCACUUUCAGCGGGGAGGAAGGCGGUGAGGUUAAUAACCUCAUCGAUUGACGUUACCCGCAGAAGAAGCACCGGCUAACUCCGUGCCAGCAGCCGCGGUAAUACGGAGGGUGCAAGCGUUAAUCGGAAUUACUGGGCGUAAAGCGCACGCAGGCGGUCUGUCAAGUCGGAUGUGAAAUCCCCGGGCUCAACCUGGGAACUGCAUUCGAAACUGGCAGGCUAGAGUCUUGUAGAGGGGGGUAGAAUUCCAGGUGUAGCGGUGAAAUGCGUAGAGAUCUGGAGGAAUACCGGUGGCGAAGGCGGCCCCCUGGACAAAGACUGACGCUCAGGUGCGAAAGCGUGGGGAGCAAACAGGAUUAGAUACCCUGGUAGUCCACGCCGUAAACGAUGUCGAUUUGGAGGUUGUGCCCUUGAGGUGUGGCUUCCGGAGCUAACGCGUUAAAUCGACCGCCUGGGGAGUACGGCCGCAAGGUUAAAACUCAAAUGAAUUGACGGGGGCCCGCACAAGCGGUGGAGCAUGUGGUUUAAUUCGAUGCAACGCGAAGAACCUUACCUGGUCUUGACAUCCACAGAACUUUCCAGAGAUGGAUUGGUGCCUUCGGGAACUGUGAGACAGGUGCUGCAUGGCUGUCGUCAGCUCGUGUUGUGAAAUGUUGGGUUAAGUCCCGCAACGAGCGCAACCCUUAUCCUUUGUUGCCAGCGGUCCGGCCGGGAACUCAAAGGAGACUGCCAGUGAUAAACUGGAGGAAGGUGGGGAUGACGUCAAGUCAUCAUGGCCCUUACGACCAGGGCUACACACGUGCUACAAUGGCAUAUACAAAGAGAAGCGACCUCGCGAGAGCAAGCGGACCUCAUAAAGUAUGUCGUAGUCCGGAUUGGAGUCUGCAACUCGACUCCAUGAAGUCGGAAUCGCUAGUAAUCGUAGAUCAGAAUGCUACGGUGAAUACGUUCCCGGGCCUUGUACACACCGCCCGUCACACCAUGGGAGUGGGUUGCAAAAGAAGUAGGUAGCUUAACCUUCGGGAGGGCGCUUACCACUUUGUGAUUCAUGACUGGGGUGAAGUCGUAACAAGGUAACCGUAGGGGAACCUGCGGUUGGAUCACCU